GAUGAACGCUAGCGGGAGGCUUAACACAUGCAAGUCGAGGGGCAGCAUAGGGUAGCAAUACUCUGAUGGCGACCGGCAAACGGGUGAGUAACGCGUAUGUAACCUACCCUGUACAGGGGGAUAACCCGGAGAAAUUCGGACUAAUAUCCCAUAACAAUAUCCGGGGGCAUCUUUGGAUAUUUAAAGUUCCGGCGGUACGGGAUGGGCAUGCGUAACAUUAGCUAGUUGGUAAGGUAACGGCUUACCAAGGCUUUGAUGUUUAGGGGUCCUGAGAGGGUGGUCCCCCACACUGGUACUGAGACACGGACCAGACUCCUACGGGAGGCAGCAGUGAGGAAUAUUGGUCAAUGCCCGGAAGGGUGAACCAGCCAUGCCGCGUGCAGGAUGACGGCCCUAUGGGUUGUAAACUGCUUUUGGAUAGGAAGAAUGGAUUGUAUUGAUAUGAUUUUGACGGUACUAUCAGAAUAAGCACCGGCUAACUCCGUGCCCAGCAGCCGCGGUAAAACGUGCGUG
RNAcentral lists this ribosomal RNA (513 nucleotides) under uncultured bacterium. RNAcentral's name for it is "bacterial SSU rRNA". It matches the Rfam family "Bacterial small subunit ribosomal RNA", at positions 28 to 534 of the family's 1533-position model. The record is from RNAcentral.